Molecule: small RNA, 3172 nt
Filed under: Rattus norvegicus (Norway rat)
Lineage: Eukaryota; Metazoa; Chordata; Mammalia; Rodentia; Muridae
Description: uncharacterized LOC102546551
Source: RNAcentral
AGCAGUCAGUGCUCUUAACCGCUGAGCCAUCUCUCCAGCCCUAGCUGUAUCUUGAGAUCUUACUGUACCCCGGUAUCACACAAUAUGGAUUUUCUUCUUACUCUCUGGACCUGGGUCUGACGCAAGUCCAAGCCAGUCCAAGCCAGUGCAAACGGAAGCCAAAGGGUCUAGGUGGCAGGCUGUCUCUGCUCCGGCCUUCUUGUGAUCCCACUAUGAAGUUACCCAACAUGUUGAAGAAGGGCACAGCCGCAAGACUGGCAGGCUGAGUCCAUCAAAGGAUACAUGGCACACACUCUACUGCCCAUAGGCUGCCAUGAAUCCCACCCAGCCUGGGACCGACAGAGCCCCGAAGACCAAGUCUGGGUCAGUUUGAGGGGGCUCAGAGUCCAUCCCGUAGGAGUGCAACUGGCCCACUGCAAAAAGUCAAAUAGAGUGGGAGAGAGCUGCGUGGCUGUGUGAGUGUGCGGGUGUGUGCGCGCGCACAUGUGCGUGCGCAUGUGCAAGCGCGCGUGCACAUCCAGCCAAGGGACAGAAAAGAGUAGAGGACGUGACAAAGAGAUGGAGGUGCGCCAGCGAGGCGACUACGGCAGAGACAAAUGGGGCUCCAGGAAAGUGCGACAGACAGGAAAUCCUUUUAAACCAGGACACUUCCCAAAAGGGUGCUGCUGUUAUUACUAUUAGUUCAUAGAAAGGAGCAAACAGAGAAGCCGGGGAGGAUGAGGCCGGCUGCCACGCGCCACUAGGCGUGGCUCUGGGCGCUGCUGGCAGCCAUUUUAGACCUUGGCAGCCAUCUUAUGGCUGGCGGCCUUAGCCAGCAUUGCCACAAUGCCGCCACCACCAGCCCCCAACAAGCUCAGCUCAGCUCCAGGACAAAAGGCAGACACACUGGAUGUCUGGAUGUAGACUCACAGGCAGAGGAGCCAGCCCUAGAGCCAGGGCAGCUGCAGCCAGGGUCCUGCAGGCUCUGCUCAGAUGCCACCUCAGCUCACCGGUGACAUACAUCUGAGACUGCAGUUUUUUUGGACCCAGAGGCCCCCCGUAGUGAGUGAUGGGGCCUGGAUCACUACCUUCUGUGAAGAGCAGCAGAGGGGGUUUCUCAGCCACUAAAGGGCAAACACAGACGCACCCAUGAUAUAGGUAUGUCCUCCCCACAGCAGUCCUUAGUAAAUGGUCUGAGGCUGCUCACCACAUGGGGAGGGAUGGGGAAAGACCCCAGGAGAUGGGCAAGGCCAAGAGAGAAGUGGGGAGCACAGGGCUUGCCCUUGGAUUCUGAGGUUCCAACAACCUGCUCUGCCCUCCCCUGCCCUGCCCUGCCCCGCUCUGCCCUGCUCAAUCCUGGAGUGGAGAGAGCUGAAGAAACCAAAAGCACAGACCCUGGCCUAGGAUGGCAGGCACCACCUCCUGCUGCCCGCAGCCCUGCCUUCUUUAUAGACAAACCCACUCCUGGCAAGGUUGGCUGGUGCCAUAGUUUGCCGGCAGCCGUGUCUAGCAUUUCUGAGGGCUUGGAUCCAGGGAUCACAUGACAAUGGGGUCCAGACAUGUAGCCCCUAGCCUAAGAACUGCCCCUCCUCAAGGUGCUGGGUAGAAACCGACAGUGGGGAAUGCUUUCAGUACACCACAAGCCAGAGAAAAGCAGUGUUGGGGAUGGGGAACGUGUGCCCACCCCACCCCCCGCCCCAGUUUGGGACCCGUGAAGCUGAGCCCCGCCCCCACUCCCUCUAUUUCAAGCAUUGCCCUUUCUGGACCUUUGAGUUGCCCAGGCCAGCCUGGGCCAGGCCAGGCCAGGCUGGGCUAGCCAGAUACCCACCCCCAUCCCCAGCUGCUCCUGAAGCUAUUAAUAGUGUUUCCCCUUCCCAGGGCUGGGUAGCACCCCCCACACCCCAGCCAAACACAUUUGCCCUUGGUCCGAUUACUCAGGAAGGGAAGUAGUCAGUCCCUAAUGCCAGCCCUAGGAUGAGAGGGGCGACGGAGGCUCUGAAGGUCACAUAGGUCGCUGCCUGGGACCAGCAGGAGCUCCAAGGAAGAGGCAAACCCUAGCCCAGGAGCAUAAUAUAGAAGGGAAGACCUAGGGAAGGAAUUAGGGCCAGGCCAAGCAGCAUUGUGGGGGGUUGUGGGGAGGCCCAUGCCAAAAGCCAGAGGAAGCCAGAGGAGGCAAAGGAGGCAGCCGGGGAGAAGCUGAGUGAACUGCUUCUUGCUGCUAGUCUAUGUGAGGAAGAGCAUUCGGCAGGGGCUGAGCUGGGACUGGGAGCCUCCAUGCCCACCCACAAGAUUUCAAUGGAGCAAGAGGAGGAGGUAGAAGAGGAGGGGGGAGGAAGAGGAAGAAAAUGUGAGAAGAGAGUCCUCUCAGCUUAGUAUAGAGAAAGCCCCCAAGCUGCAGCCUUUUUACCAUAGGACAUGGAGCCCAAGGGACAGAGAUGGAGGGACAGGACAUGAGCCUCUGCACCUCUGCUACCCUGGGCUUCUCUAGUCCUCCUGCGGCCCACUCCUGUCCAUGAAUGCUGGGGACUUAGUGGAAAGAAUAUAGGAGAGCCCACCUGCCUUGACUCACCAUAAAGGGCAGGCUGCAUUGAAAUCCCCACCCCUGGCCACCUCCCCUCUGGCUGUGGGCAGAAAGAGGGGCAAACACAGACACAUCCCAUAACCAGAUAUUUCAGCAGGACUCAAUUCCCACCUACAGGCCUAGCAGUCCUGUCUUCAAACCUUACCCGCUGGGUACCCUCCGGCUGGGCCAGCACUGGCAGACAGGCCUGAACCAUCAGCCCCAUGAGGCUAAGGCCUCGUGACUGUGCUCACUGCUUCGUCUUUACCACCUCUCAAAGACUCAGAGCCCUUUCUAGAUCCUUCUUGCAACCGUGGCUUCUACCCUGAUGCACCCCUUAGGGGACAGAGCACCGCUAGCUGGCACCUUCCUCCCCUGCUGAAGAUAGGCUGUAUUCCUGUCUCCACCUUUAACCCUGUAAACCUGAGCCGAGCCUCCCAUCAAAGGAUUCGAUGGACAGGAGGAGCCCAGGUUAGGCAAGACAAGAGAGUACUCUGCCCAUGGCCUACUCCUCUGCCACUUUAGAGACCCAAAGGCUGCAAGAGCCAUUUAGACAAGACAUGAAGGACCUGGGAUCUUGACUCUAAGUGUUUGUGUUGUUGGUUUUUUAAAAUAAAAGCUUCUCUGCUGCUA